GACGAACGCUGGCGGCGUGCCUAAUACAUGCAAGUAGAACGCUGAAGAGAGGAGCUUGCUCUUCUUGGAUGAGUUGCGAACGGGUGAGUAACGCGUAGGUAACCUGCCUGGUAGCGGGGGAUAACUAUUGGAAACGAUAGCUAAUACCGCAUGAUAUUAAUUGUCGCAUGAUAAUUAAUUGAAAGACGCAAUUGCAUCACUACCAGAUGGACCUGCGUUGUAUUAGCUAGUUGGUGAGGUAACGGCUCACCAAGGCGACGAUACAUAGCCGACCUGAGAGGGUGAUCGGCCACACUGGGACUGAGACACGGCCCAGACUCCUACGGGAGGCAGCAGUAGGGAAUCUUCGGCAAUGGGGGGAACCCUGACCGAGCAACGCCGCGUGAGUGAAGAAGGUUUUCGGAUCGUAAAGCUCUGUUGUAAGAGAAGAACGGGUGUGAGAGUGGAAAAGUUCACACUGUGACGGUUUC
RNAcentral lists this ribosomal RNA (470 nucleotides) under Streptococcus sanguinis. RNAcentral's name for it is "bacterial SSU rRNA". It matches the Rfam family "Bacterial small subunit ribosomal RNA", at positions 28 to 479 of the family's 1533-position model. The record is from RNAcentral. Lineage: Bacteria; Bacillati; Bacillota; Bacilli; Lactobacillales; Streptococcaceae.